RNAcentral lists this ribosomal RNA (3025 nucleotides) under groundwater metagenome. RNAcentral describes it as "bacterial LSU rRNA". It matches the Rfam family "Bacterial large subunit ribosomal RNA". The record is from RNAcentral.
UUAAGCUACAAAGGGCUAAUGGUGAAUGACUUGGUGUCAACAGGCGAUGAAGGACGUGGUAAGCUGCGAUAAGCCUCGGGGAGCCGCAAACUGGCUUUGAUCCGGGGAUUUCCGAAUGGGACAACCCUAGCUGGGUUAUACCGGCUAACCGGCGGCUGAAUUCAAUAGGCCGUCAGGAGCGAACCGAGAGAACUGAAACAUCUCAGUAACUCGAGGUAAUAGAAAUCAGUAGAGAUUCCCCUAGUAGCGGCGAGCGAACGGGGAAGAGCCUAAACCCGUCAAACGUGAUAGCUGAUGCGCGUUGUUUGGCGGGGGUUGCAGGGCCUUAUCGGACGACAGCAUUGUGUCGUCGGGAAGUUACAAAGAUACCUCUUAAUCAAACAGUCUGGAACGACUGACCAAAGAAGGUGAUAGUCCUGUAGGUGAAAAGAGAGUAUUCUUCCUGGAUAAGGUACCUAAUUACCAUGGGGCACGUGGAAUCCUGUGGGAAUCCGGGAGGACCAUCUUCCAAGGCUAAAUACUAGUUGGCGACCGAUAGUGAACUCAGUAACGCGAGUGAAAGUUGAAAAGUACCCCGGAAGGGGAGUGAAAUAGUACCUGAAACCGUUAGCUUACACAGCGGUCAGAGGGCUAUGGCCGCCAUAGCAAUGUGGCGGCAAUGCCUGAUGGCGUACCUUUUGCAUAAUGAGCCUGCGAGUUACUGUACGUUGCGAGGUUAAGUCCUUAACAGGACGGAGCCGGAGCGAAAGCGAGUCCUAACUGGGCGAUUAGUAACGUGUAGUAGACCCGAAACCAAGUGAUCUACUUAUGGCCAGGGGGAAGCCGCGGUAAAACGCGGUGGACGCCCGAACGGGUGACAGUUGAAAAUGUCUCCGAUGAGCUGUGAGUAGGAGUGAAAGGCCAAUCAAACUUGGAGAUAGCUGGUUCUCCCCGAAAUAACUAUAGGGUUAGCCUUGCAAAUUAGCGGAUGGGGGUAGAGCACUGGAUGGACUAGGGGGCUUACCGGCCUACUGAAUCCAACCAAACUCCGAAUACCAUCUUGCCGUAUUGCAGGAGACAGAAUGUGAGGGAUAAGCUUCAUGUUCGCGAGGGAAAGAGCCCAGAUCGUCAGCUAAGGUCCCUAAGAUGAGCUAAGUGGUAAAGGAUGUGAGGUCGCGUAAACAACCGGGAUGUUGGCUUAGAGGCAGCCAUCAUUUAAAGAGUGCGUAAUAGCUCACCGGUCGAGUGAUCUCGCGCCGACAAUGAUCGGGGCUAAGCUCAUCACCGAAGCUACGGGUUUCUUAAAGUUCGCAAGAACUUUAAGGAGCGGUAGGGGAGCGUUCCAUUGUAGGUUGAAGGGUGACCGUAAGGACACCUGGACGAAAUGGAAGUGAGAAUGCAGGUAUGAGUAGCGAAAAGACAGGCAAGAAACCUGUCCGCCGAAAGUCUAAGGUUUCCCGGGGAAGGUUAAUCCGCCCGGGGUUAGUCGGGCCUAAGUCGAGGCCGAAAGGCGUAGGCGAUGGAUAGCAGGGUAAAAUAUUCCUGCACCACGGAUCAGGUGUUUGAAUCAAUGAGGUGACUCAGGAAGUUAGGUACCGCGCGCCUGGUGGUUGUGCGCGUCUGGCUUUGUAGGUAUUGCCGAAAGGUGAUAUUGAGGAAGUCGGGGAACCCGAGCUACGGCAAGGGAGAACGGGCCGAUACUAUGCUGACAAGAAACAGCUUCGUUGAUGAAUCUGAUUCGUGUCCGUACCGUAAUCCGACACAGGUAGACGAGGAGAAUAUCCAAAGGCGAUCGUCAUAACUCUCGUUAAGGAACUCGGCAAUCUAGCCCCGUAACUUCGGAAGAAGGGGUGCUCUCUCUGGUGUAGUGUACAACGAAGCUGGAGAGGGCUUCAAGAAAGUGGCCUGUGUGACUGUUUAGUAAAAACCCAUGUCUCUGCAAAGUCGGCAAGACGACGUAUAGGGACUGACACCUGCCCGGUGCUAGAAGGUUAAGGAAAGGGGUUAGCGCAAGCGAAGCUCUUGACUGAAGCCCUAGUAAACGGCGGCCGUAACUAUAACGGUCCUAUGGUAGCGAAAUUCCUUGUCGGGUAAGUUCCGACCCGCACGAAUGGUGUAACAACAUGGGCGCUGUCUCAACGAGAGAGUCGGUGAAAUUGUAGUCGCUGUCAAGAUGCAGCGUAACCACGAGUAGACGAAAAGACCCCAGAACCUUUACUGUAAGCUGGUCCUGAACUUAGGUCCUGUAUGUGUAGCAUACGCGGGAGACUUUGAGGCCCUGGCGCUAGUCAGGGUGGAGUCGAAAUAUGAAAUACCGCGCUUACUAUACUUGGGUUCUAACUCCCGGCCUUAAUCAGGUCGGAGGACACGGCUAGCCGGGCAGUUUGACUGGGGCGGUUUCCUCCCAAAGCGUAACGGAGGAGUCCAAAGGUUCCCUCAGCGCGGUCGGCAAUCGCGCGUGGAGUGUAAAGGCAUAAGGGAGCUUAACUGCGAGACUUACUAGUCAAGCAGAUGCGAAAGCAGGGCUUAAUGAUCCGGUAGUUGCGAAUGGAAGCGCUAUCGCUCAACGAAUAAUAGGUACUCUGGGGAUAACAGGCUUAUCGGAUCCAAGAGUUCAUAUCGACGAUCCGGUUUGGCACCUCGAUGUCGGCUCAUCGCAACCUGGGGCUGGAGAAGGUCCCAAGGGUCCGGCUGUUCGCCGGUCAAUAGCGGUACGCGAGCUGGGUUUAGAACGUCGUGAGACAGUUCGGUCUCUAUCUCUCGUGGUCGAAGGAGACUUGCGGGGCACUAUCCAUAGUACGAGAGGACCUGGAUGGCUGAGCCUCUGGUGUUCCAGUUGUUCCUGCCAAGGGCAUUCGCUGGGUAGCUAUGCUCGGAAGAGAUAACCGCUGAAAGCAUCUAAGUGGGAAGCUCUCCCCAAGAUAAGGUCUCCCCGCCCGUAAGGGCAUGAAGGCACCUAGGAGUCUACUAGGUUGAUAGGCUGGGUGUGUAAGCUCCGUAAAGGAGUUCAGCUGACCAGUACUAAUCUGCCGAUAGGCUUGAUCAC